UACGUAGGGUGCAAGCGUUAAUCGGAAUUACUGGGCGUAAAGCGUGCGCAGGCGGCUAUGCAAGACAGAUGUGAAAUCCCCGGGCUCAACCUGGGAACUGCAUUUGUGACUGCAUGGCUAGAGUACGGUAGAGGGGGAUGGAAUUCCGCGUGUAGCAGUGAAAUGCGUAGAUAUGCGGAGGAACACCGAUGGCGAAGGCAAUCCCC
Molecule: ribosomal RNA, 206 nt
Filed under: uncultured bacterium
Lineage: Bacteria
Description: partial 16S ribosomal RNA
Rfam family: Bacterial small subunit ribosomal RNA
Source: RNAcentral